GUGCCAGCAGCCGCGGUAAUACAGAGGUCUCAACCGUUGUUCGGAUUCAUUGGGCGUAAAGGGUGCGUAGGCGGCGGGGUAAGUCAGGUGUGAAAUCUCGGGGCUCAACCCCGAAACUGCACUUGAUACUGCCUCGCUUGAGUACUGGAGAGGAGACUGGAAUUUACGGUGUAGCAGUGAAAUGCGUAGAUAUCGUAAGGAAGACCAGUGGCGAAGGCGAGUCUCUGGACAGUUACUGACGCUGAGGCACGAAGGCCAGGGGAGCAAACGGGAUUAGAUACCCCUGUAGUCC
RNAcentral lists this ribosomal RNA (292 nucleotides) under uncultured bacterium. RNAcentral describes it as "partial 16S ribosomal RNA". It matches the Rfam family "Bacterial small subunit ribosomal RNA", at positions 505 to 796 of the family's 1533-position model. The record is from RNAcentral.